GACGAACGCUGGCGGCGUGCUUAACACAUGCAAGUCGAACGGAAAGGCCCUGCUUUUGUGGGGUGCUCGAGUGGCGAACGGGUGAGUAACACGUGAGUAACCUGCCCUUGUCUUUGGGAUAACUUCAGGAAACUGGGGCUAAUACCGGAUAGGAGCUCCUGCUGCAUGGUGGGGGUUGGAAAGUUUCGGCGGUUGGGGAUGGACUCGCGGCUUAUCAGCUUGUUGGUGGGGUAGUGGCUUACCAAGGCUUUGACGGGUAGCCGGCCUGAGAGGGUGACCGGCGACAUUGGGACUGAGGUACGGCCCAGACUGCUACGGGAGGCAGAAGUGGGGAAUAUUGCACAAUGGGCGGAAGCCUGAUGCAGCAGCGCCGCGUGCGGGAUGACGGCCUUCGGGUUGUGAACCGCUUUCGCCUGUGACGAAGCGUGAGUGACGGUAAUGGGUAAAGAAGCACCGGCUAACUACGUG
Molecule: ribosomal RNA, 468 nt
Filed under: uncultured bacterium
Lineage: Bacteria
Description: partial 16S ribosomal RNA
Rfam family: Bacterial small subunit ribosomal RNA
Source: RNAcentral